GGGGUGGUGGGGUGAGAGAUUUUUUUUUUUUUCCUAGCCAUUGGACGGAGGCUAAGUGUCUUUUUCAGUGUUGGGUUUUCGAGUCUGGUAGGGGUCUGGUAGGGAUCUCAGGAAACGCCCCUCCCCAUCUAGGUUCUGUUAAGGUACCUGGCGCCAGGUAGCCAGCGAGAAGGGCGACAUGAUGACCCUGGACGGGAGGACCAGGGAAGGGCAGCAGUGAGAAAGAACCAUGUAGGGAUUUGCGAAUUCUGCUGUAAAGGGACUUGAUUAACCGAAUCUGGGACUGGUCUGCGAACUCCUCGGACCUCAUCCGCGCGCGGCUGCCCAGUUGGCGUAUCUAAGGGGGGACGUUGCUUCAGCGGGACUAGUAAACACCUUUCUAAAGUCACUUCCUAAGGUUCCUGAAAUGUGGGCUCCUUGCAUAUGUGUUUACGAACGAAUUCUCUAGAGAGACUAGAUGAAAGGUGUGAUUAUUGCCAGAUGUUUGUGUGCCCAUCUGGGGACAAAUUCUCUGAUUUCCUGUGUGGGGAAGGGUAUCCUAUCCUCCCUGCCCUUGAUACGUGGCUGUGAGCUGUCUUGCUCCUGGUUGCAUACACUACUAUACAUACUAUUAAUCCAAUUCAUAGAGUUUUUCUCUCAGUGACAGGUAUUUACAGUGCUAUAAAAUUGUCGUUACUUCUGUCAGGGAGGAAGGCCCUGGGCCGUUAAAUGAUGGUAUAAUGCAGAGACUAUUAGGUGUGAGCAUGUAGUCUUUUGUUAUUCCCCCCGCCCCCCCCCCCAAAAAAAAAAAAAAAAAGGUUUGAGUUAUGUGUGGACAUAGCCACUGUGGGAAAUUAAGACGAGCAUUUUGUAUUGAUUAAAUUUUUGUUCCUCAGUUUCCAAAGCCCCAUUUUGUGUUGUCUGUUCACUUUUGCUUUUGGUGACUCUAAUGUUUUCCAAGACCUGGGAAUCAUUUUCAUUGAAGGAUCAAUGUGUUCUUUUGUACUCUGUGGUGAAGACUAAUGGAGACCACCAGGGUUCUGGACACUUCUGGUGCAGUAUGCUUUGUAAUAAGUAGAAAAUGUCUUCCGCAUACAGAUCCAGAUCACAUAAAGACGCAAGAACAUCGUCGGUGAGUGAUUAUGGACAUUAUGAAUAG
This 1138-nucleotide long non-coding RNA is filed under the name Marmota monax (woodchuck). The record is from RNAcentral. Lineage: Eukaryota; Metazoa; Chordata; Mammalia; Rodentia; Sciuridae.